RNAcentral lists this long non-coding RNA (874 nucleotides) under Nilaparvata lugens (brown planthopper). Its description in RNAcentral is "uncharacterized LOC120354444". Lineage: Eukaryota; Metazoa; Arthropoda; Insecta; Hemiptera; Delphacidae. The record is from RNAcentral.
AAUUGCAUUCAAUCUCUAUUCUCAUUAAUUAACUCUUCAUAUCUUGUAAAAUUCGUUUAAUAAUAAGCGAUAUUGUCAUUCAACGUAAAUUAGUGUAUAAGCCAGCAGUAUAAUAAUGUAUUGUAACAUAACAUGCAUAAAUAAAGAACUCUAAUCUAAUCCAUGAUCCAUCAUCUCUACACUCUAUGCUCUCUCUCUUCUCUAUUCAACUGCAUAUGCUUUCUAUUACUAUGUUAUAUUUUCCAGUACGGUAGGCUAUAUAGUUUGAGUCUCUCCACUUACUACCUGCUCCACAGUUUCGAAUAAUAGUCCCUUCUUUUGUAAUAGUGUAGGUCUGUCACCAUUGUCCACUGGUCUACCCUCUCUUUCUCAACUCACUCCUUCUCAGUCGGAGUAUUUCGCGCCCUUUUUGGUUGGGUUUGCCUUUUGGUUAGUUGUAGUCACUAAACUGUCACAAGGCAGUCGCAAGGGCCAGUUAGUUUCAGUUCAUCAUGUAUUGAAUACAGAUUACAGUUCAUGUUUCCAGUGUUUUAUCCGGGAAUUUAUUUGUUUUGAAGUCACUUGAUCUUCUAUUAUCAAUGAGACGUAUGUCGCGUCAUGCGCCGAUAAAGCUUUGGAAGGGCGCACAAUCACGAGUAUCAUGGGGAAGCUGGUGACCCUUCGUUGCCAUAUACUUUUCGUGGAAAAGAGUUCAACGCAAGGACGACCAUGAGAUAGAGAAAAAACCAUUCAAGGACCUUCUCAUAACUAAAGUUAUGAUUGACAUGGAGAAAAGAAGAAGAAACAGUCGUCUGCUGAAGUCAAUGAAGACGAGACACUUGAAAAUUUUAAUUUGGAGCUCCAGCCAUAAAAUACAAUUCGUCGCAUUACUAUG